RNAcentral lists this ribosomal RNA (324 nucleotides) under uncultured eukaryote. RNAcentral describes it as "partial 18S ribosomal RNA". It matches the Rfam family "Eukaryotic small subunit ribosomal RNA", at positions 1470 to 1796 of the family's 1831-position model. The record is from RNAcentral.
CCCUUAGAUGUCCCGGGCUGCACGCGCGCUACACUGAUGUGUCCAGUAAGCACCUAACCUCUUCCGAAAGGAACGGGUAACCUUUGCAAAGCACAUCGUGAUGGGGAUAGAUUAUUGCAAUUAUUAGUCUUGAACGAGGAAUUCCUAGUAAGCACAAGUCAUCAGCUUGUGUUGAUUACGUCCCUGCCCUUUGUACACACCGCCCGUCGCUCCUACCGAUUGAAUGUUCCGGUGAGCUCUUCGGACUGCGCGGUCUGCAGUUUCUGCGUUCCGUGCGGAAAGUUGCGCAAACCUUAACAUUUAGAGGAAGGAGAGGUCGUAACA